This 83-nucleotide ribosomal RNA is filed under the name Tropidurus bogerti. RNAcentral's name for it is "partial 16S large subunit ribosomal RNA". The record is from RNAcentral. Lineage: Eukaryota; Metazoa; Chordata; Lepidosauria; Squamata; Tropiduridae.
UUAAAACCAAGCUCAACCUCUUUCCCCAAAACAUAAAACAUAAAACAAACCAUUUGACACAACCAGUAAAGGAGAUUAAACAU